AGAAUGAGACGAAUAGUCGGGAUAGCUCAG
RNAcentral lists this transfer RNA (30 nucleotides) under Leibnitzia anandria. RNAcentral's name for it is "partial tRNA-Phe". Lineage: Eukaryota; Viridiplantae; Streptophyta; Magnoliopsida; Asterales; Asteraceae. The record is from RNAcentral.